RNAcentral lists this unclassified non-coding RNA (433 nucleotides) under soil metagenome. RNAcentral's name for it is "partial contains 5.8S ribosomal RNA, internal transcribed spacer 2, and large subunit ribosomal RNA". The stretch from base 1 to 120 matches the Rfam family "5.8S ribosomal RNA", at positions 35 to 154 of the family's 154-position model. The record is from RNAcentral.
GAUGAAGAACGUAGCGAAAUGCGAUACGUAAUGUGAAUUGCAGAAUUCAGUGAAUCAUCGAAUCUUUGAACGCAUAUUGCGCUCUCUGGUAUUCCGGAGAGCAUGCUUGUUUGAGUAUCAGUAAACACCUCAACUUCCAUAUCUUUUUUGAAAUGGGAGUUGGACUUGAGUGAUCCCAACGCUUUUCCUCACCGAAAAGUGGCGGGUUACUUGAAAUGCAGGUGCAGCUGGACUUUUCUCUGAGCUAUAAGCAUAUCUAUUUAGUCUGCCUAAAAAACAGAUUAUUACCUUUGCUGCAGCUAACAUAAAGGAGAUUAGUUCUUGUGCUGACUGAUGCAGGAUUCACAAAGACAGGCUUCGGCCGACUUUGUAAACUCGAUCUCAAAUCAAGUAAGACUACCCGCUGAACUUAAGUAUAUCAAUAAGCGGAGGA